UGCUUUCUUUUACCCCUAAAAUC
This 23-nucleotide non-coding RNA is filed under the name Mus musculus (house mouse). The record is from RNAcentral. Lineage: Eukaryota; Metazoa; Chordata; Mammalia; Rodentia; Muridae.